Molecule: long non-coding RNA, 729 nt
Organism: Vicia villosa (hairy vetch)
Lineage: Eukaryota; Viridiplantae; Streptophyta; Magnoliopsida; Fabales; Fabaceae
Exons: 2
Source: RefSeq, a predicted model, not a curated record
AUUAAAGUGUAAUUGGGAGGUGCAUGUAUGCCAUUAUUAUGGUAAAGUUACUAAUGAACGUAGCUGUUUAUGCUUCUGGAGUUUCAUUCAACUCAUCGAUUAGUUCCUCAUGGCUGGUUGACUACAGUCUAACACAACCCUCUUCUUUUAUUCGCGCGGAAGUAGAACCACGUGAUUAUUUUGCUUCAAAAAACAAUUUAUCGAAUGAAACUGGAUCAAGUGAAUUCAGAAGCUAUAUUGAAAAUCAUCUCAACGAAACUUGCACUUGAUGUUGAAAACUUUUUAACAAAACAAGAUCUCAACCAAGCUAUGAAUUUGUCUCCCGGUGAAAUUGGUGCUUUCUAUAUGCCAUUCAGAGCUUCCUUCCUGAAACAGUGUAAAAACCUUCUGGAAACUUGAUUACAGAAAUGUUCAUCAGCUUGCAUUUACCACAUUUACAAAGCUUACGCUCUAAAUAUAACCAAAAGUGUAUGCGCGUCAUGUAAUUUAAGACAAAACGCAUACGAUUAUUUUGCUUAUAUUUAGACCGGAAGGAGUACUAAAAAGAAGUAUUUACCGGUGGAAAUUGAACAAAAUCAGGUUUUGAAAUGCAAUGUUAAAUGACCAGAAAAUAAGCCACUUCAUUAUAGUGACGAAAUCCAUGGAGAUACAAGAACAACUCUUCAAUUUGAAGACACAAUACCUAAACAGUACAAAACCCUCUCUAAUCAACUCAAUGAACAACAAAAC